GUGGGGAGGGCAGAGGCCAGGCCCUUGACCAUCUACCCGGCCUGGCGAGGUUGGUGGGUGAAUGUGGUUGGCUGGCCGUGAUGGAACAACCUGAGUUGCCACUCCAUGGGCAGCCACGGAAGACCAUGCCCCACGUUCACUUCUCUCACCUGCAAAGGGAGGCUAGGCUGAGAGACGUUUCCCCGAGAGGAAAGAUGGGCCAGAGCCACCAGCGUCCCCAUCUGUCUUCUCCAGGGUUCUAACCUUUGCCUCUCCCUCGUCCCCUGGACCCACCCUCCGUGGGGUCUGUGGGGCCACUGGGCUGGUUAUGCCCCUGGAGGGUGCCUGCCGUGUGGCACCCUCUGGUGGGAGCUGGGGUGGUCUUUACUCAGGAGAGCCUGGGUGAGACCUGGUUUCUUUCUUCCAGACCCAGACAGUCAUCCACACGGUGCAGAGCGCCUCUGGACAGAUGUUCUCUCAGACUCCCGCCAUCCCACCUAUGAUGUACCCCCACCCUGCCUAUCCGAUGCCUUUCAUCACCACCAUUCCGGGAGGGCUGUACCCAUCCAAGUCCAUCAUCCUGUC
Molecule: long non-coding RNA, 564 nt
Filed under: Homo sapiens (human)
Lineage: Eukaryota; Metazoa; Chordata; Mammalia; Primates; Hominidae
Description: non-protein coding lnc-CCDC144NL-9:1
Source: RNAcentral